ACUGAUAUAUUGAUCAGUAUGAGGUCAAUAUGAGUAUAUUGUGAGAUAUCCUACGACAUCACAUUAAGACAGUUCAAGUACUGAAGAUUCCAGGAUGAUCUAUUCUUUUUAAAAUUAGGAAUGAUGCUUACCAUGUAUUUGCUUCUCAUGAAAAGAGAAAUGGGUAGAAUUACAGACAUCUUUAGAUGUAAGAUGUCUUGUAAGAUGUAAGAAGCUUGCAUAACCCCUGUGAACAACCAUAGGAGAAUGUGAAGGUGGAAAAAUGUCUUUGAUACUAGAAUUAGAAUUCCUACUCAGUAGGAAUUGAUUGUGCACAGGGGGAGAUCAGUUCUGGUGCCCAUCUUAUGUUUCCAAAGGAACGUUUAAAGUUAGUUCCGAAGUAGUCUUCCUGAUCAUGUGUGCAAGACUUCAUGACCAAGCUCCCAGAUGAUCCAGGUCAGUCCUGUUUGGGCUUUUAGAAACCAGAGGAGUUGGAAAUUCAGGGACAGUCUUGUCAAAAUUCUCCAUCUUGAUUUGAUAUUCACCUUUGGAACCUCGGGUCAACAGAGAU
This 550-nucleotide small RNA is filed under the name Pan troglodytes (chimpanzee). RNAcentral describes it as "processed transcript". Lineage: Eukaryota; Metazoa; Chordata; Mammalia; Primates; Hominidae. The record is from RNAcentral.